AGUGUUGAUUGCUUUGGCUAUAUAAUAUAUGCAAAUCUCGUUAAAUUGGAUUAGAAUCUGUAUAUGAGUUUUCAGGCUUAGACGCCAUUCUCUCUUGCAUCUUUUGGUAAUGUGAAAGCCCCAUAUAUCUACAACAUAGAUUUGCUAGGAUAUUGACAUCUGGUGAAGCAAGUUGGAAUUUUAGCCGCCGACUAGAGCUUAGCACGCCGUAUAGUCUAUCUGACAUAUUUCUUAAGGUCCAUAUAAUGGCUAAUGCAUUUUGACAAUGCAGCUAACAAUUAUGUGAGGAAAUAAGGUUUACACAAUUAUCUUGCAUUAAUCUAGAUAUCUUUCAUCGGUGAAGCAUGGUAUGGCCAUCAUAUUCAAAAGCAUCUGGUUUGGUAUCAUGGUGUAUUGUUUAUCAGGGAGCAUGGUCUAAUUCUCUAAGUCAUGGGUCACUAAACGUUACAAAGAACAAAUGAGAUAUGCCAUAACUACUUUAAGAAUGAGAUAAUCAUCUUUUUUUGACUCAUCAUUGUUUUUGUCAUGAUCAGCAACAUAUCACUUUAAGAAUGCAUGGUCAUCAAAAAUUAUUGUUGUUUUGAUGAAUUUGAAGCAAAUAUGUGAUCCAGUUGAGGCUUCUGUUAUCCAGAUUUCAUGCCCCAUGUUUAGCUUUGGCUGGAGUGACUGAUUCCAGUUAUAAUUGCAAUCAAUGACUUGAGGAGCACCUAAUAGGAGGAAGAGUAAUAAUUGAUCUAACACGCGAGAAGAGUUAUGAACGUCCAUUUUUUGUGUGUCUUUAACUGUUACCACUUUUCACUUCCAACUGGACAUGAAAAUUAAUGAUAUUUACAGCUCUAGUAGUUUUCAUAGUUGAAUGUACACCUUCAUGGUAUCCACUUCUGUAUUGAUCUAGCUAGAUCUGGAAUUGCUGGGAAUUUUUUAUGCUAUAUUGCUUUAUUAUUUUGUUUUUCAUGCCCAAAUGAAGGCUUUUGCUCAAGCAAAAAGUCACUAUUGAUCAACAUAUUUGCAGCUUGCCCUUUCCCCAUUUUUAUCCCUCUUGCAUUGUACUGUAACUUGUCAGGAAACAAUCAAGCGCCUCAUUGAACAGAUAAAACAGUGUAGCAUGCAUGUUGUUUUUUUCCUAAUCUGAUGUUCUUAAAUCAAGAAUGACUAAAAGGAUAUUAUAAUUGGAAGGGAGUUUGGGAAGUAUGCUUCUGGGGGGAAUGAGCAAAUCAAAAACAUUUCAAUAAGAUCUAUCGUUAACGUGCUUAGACAAUCCUACCAGCCCUUCUGCCAUGAAGUUACCACUGCAAAACCUUGAUGGGGCAAUUGGCCCCCUCCCCCUGUCCCCUUAUCAUUUAAAGAUUCCACCAUCAAGUUUCAGGCUUAUCAAACAUGUAACAAACAAUUCUUAACUUGUUGUGUUCUCUGUAGGAACUCAGGGACGCAGAGAUUAGUCUGUCUCUGAGUAUUCCUUACCAGCAAAAGCUAACUAUUUCCUGGCAAUAUAAGGUGCUUGUUGGGCCCAUAUAGCCUUGUCAGGCUCUUAGUUCUUACCAAGUCCCACCAAGUUGUUAUUUUCACUUUCUUUGGUUGCCAUAAAGCUCAGUGUGGCAUCUUUUCAGCACAUGCCCUGUUUGCUGUCAACACACGCUUUUGCUCCUUGUUCCAUAAAGAUGUGUUUGCUGCUAGUGAAAAAAAAUUUGAUGUGGUCUCUACUAUAGUAAAAUAUGAACUGGCCUUCUUAGAUUCGAUAAGCAUAGAGUCGUUACAGGAUGCAGUGGUUGUUUUACCCCAUAAAACACGCUUCCUCCAUUGCAGCAGGCAUGGUUCUGGAAUUUAACCUAUGGAAAACAAUUGCAAUUAUCUGAUGGAACUAGUUUUCAUGCUAUCCUUUUUGCCUCACAUGUUUAGAGCAGUACUUCUAUGUUUGUAUUUGUAUAAUUGUAUUGCUGUAAUAUAGGGGGAUUGUUAACAUAGAGCUGUGGUAACAAAACUGUAAGACUAUCAAAGAAUAUUCUUGUUUCAAAUUUUUUGUACGAGUGGAGGGAAUUUUUGAGAGGUUGGGUUGUUACUUGAUUUAAGCUGUAUAUUUUGUUAAAAUACUUUGUAACCCAACCAUUGGUUGUUUCUGCAAUAUCUGUGAGUUCCAACCGCUACUGUAGCCCUCCACAAGCUAUAGCCAGGUGUUUUGCUUGUUGACUCAGAAUUUUUUGUUACACUAAACAAAAGAUUGAUGAAUAUAGAGUAGCAUUUGUAUGUUAUGCACUAUGACUGAUUUGACUGAAGAACCACCCAGUCCUCUUUGUGUUAAGGAUUGUCCAGGAGUGCACGUUAUCGGUUCCCUGCUUGCAGUCUUUGAUCUACAUGUACUGAUUCUGAACUCUUUCGUGAUUGUUCUUGGCUUCUUGCAGGGAAGAAUAUCAUGUGUGGUGCAUGUUAAUCCACACAACCAAACCAUAGUACAUCAGGACUGCUAUCCUGAGUGAAAUUGCUAGCGGAAGCUAUCCCCUCUGGCGAAUGGAUGAUUUCUAAACUUCACUUGGAGUUGUGGUUGUAAAAACUCGAUCCAUUGGCUUUGGGUGUACACGUGCGAGGAACAACAAAACUAUACUGCCUGUUGUGAAGUCGUUGGCACGUCAUGUAAUACCGAUCAGUUCCCUGAGAAGAAAAUGUCGUUUCACAUUGGUAUUCCGGGUGCUGUUCCUGUUUGGGUUUAUUGGAACAUUGGCCACAUGGAUCA
Setaria italica (foxtail millet) is the source of this 2725-nucleotide long non-coding RNA. RefSeq lists it as uncharacterized. The transcript has 2 exons. The record is from RefSeq and is a predicted model, not a curated record. Lineage: Eukaryota; Viridiplantae; Streptophyta; Magnoliopsida; Poales; Poaceae.